This is a small nucleolar RNA of Lathyrus oleraceus (garden pea), 106 nucleotides long. The record is from RefSeq and is a predicted model, not a curated record. Lineage: Eukaryota; Viridiplantae; Streptophyta; Magnoliopsida; Fabales; Fabaceae.
AACUUGUGAUAUGGGCAGGCUCUCAUCAACUUCUUGAAUCACUCCCACGUUUCGAAUAGAAACUCACUGUCCAUCUGCCUAAAGCAGGUAAUUUGGUUCCUUAACU